CUAACACAUGCAAGUCGAGCGAAGUGCUUAUGAUGAAAUCUUCGGAUAGAUUCAUAAACCACUUAGCGGGGGACGGGUGAGUAACGCGUGAGGAACCUGCCUUGUACAAGGGGAUAGCCUCGGGAAACCGGGAUUAAUACCCUAUGAUACUUAAAAUUCACAUGAAUAUUAAGUUAAAGCGAAUUAGCGGUGCAAGAUGGUCUCGCGUCCCAUUAGUUAGUUGGUGAGGUAACGGCUCACCAAGGCCACGAUGGGUAGCCGGCCUGAGAGGGUGAUCGGCCACACUGGUUUUGAGACACGGUCCAGACUCCUACGGGAGGCAGCAGUGGGGAAUAUUGAACAAUGGAGGAAACUCUGAUGCAGCGACGUCGCGUGAGUGAUGAAGGUCUUCGGAUCGUAAAACUCUGUCCUAAGGGACGAUAAUGACGGUACCUUAGGAGGAAGCCCCGGCUAACUACGUGCCAGCAGCCGCGGUAAUACGUAGGGGGCGAGCGUUGUCCGGAUUUAUUGGGCGUAAAGGGUGCGUAGGCGGCCUUGUAAGUCAGAUGUGAAAGAUCAUGGCUUAACUGUGGUAAGCAUUUGAAACUGCAGGGCUUGAGUACAGGAGAGGAGAGUGGAAUUCCUAGUGUAGCGGUGAAAUGCGUAGAUAUUAGGAGGAAUACCAGUGGCGGAAGGCGACUCUCUGGAUGAUACUGACGCUGAGGCACGAAAGCGUGGGGAGCAAACAGGAUUAGAUACCCGGUAGUCCACGCCGUAAAGGAUGAGGGCUAGGGGGUGGGGGGUAAACCUCGGGGGCGCAGUUAAAACUUAAGGCCUCGGCCUGGGGAGUAGGGGGGAACAUGGAAAUUAAAGGAAUUGGAGGGGGACCGGAAAAGAAGGGGGAGGAAGGGGGUUAAUUCGAGGCAAGGGGAAGAAACUUAACGGGGUUGGAAUCCCCGGGAAGGAAAUAGCGGAAGGUUCUUUCCCUUCGGGGUCUGGGGAGACAGGUGGUGCAUGGUUGUCGUCAGCUCGUGUCGUGAGAUGUUGGGUUAAGUCCCGCAGCGGGCUCUUCCCUUCUCUUUAGUUGCAAUCAGUUAGGCUGUGCACUCUAGAAAAAAAACCAAUGNCUUUUCGGAGGAAGGUGGGGAUGCCGUCAAAUCAUCAUGCCCUUUAUGUCCUGGGCUACACACGUGCUACAAUGGUCGGUACAACGGGCAGCCACUUAGUGAUAAGGAGCUAAUCCCAUAAAACCGAUCCCAGUUCGGAUUGUAGGCUGCAACCCGCCUACAUGAAGCCGCCCUUCCUAGUUAUCGCGGAUCAGAAUGCCGCCUGUGCCUUCUUUGGCGGGUCUUGUACACACCGCCCGUCACUCCAUGGAAGUUGUCUAUUCCCGAAGCCAGCGAGCU
This 1385-nucleotide ribosomal RNA is filed under the name uncultured Bacillota bacterium. RNAcentral describes it as "uncultured Firmicutes bacterium 16S ribosomal RNA". It matches the Rfam family "Bacterial small subunit ribosomal RNA". The record is from RNAcentral. Lineage: Bacteria; Bacillati; Bacillota.